This is an RNA transcript of Panicum virgatum (switchgrass), 12436 nucleotides long. It is a transcript of the gene named serine/threonine-protein kinase SMG1-like, with no coding region annotated. Lineage: Eukaryota; Viridiplantae; Streptophyta; Magnoliopsida; Poales; Poaceae. The record is from RefSeq and is a predicted model, not a curated record. The transcript has 17 exons.
GCCUCAGCCCACAGCUGUUUCUCCGGCGAGCGGAGCGCGGCGGAGCCCGACGAGAUUGACGGCGCGGGGGCGCGACAAUGCAAAACCCUCGCCCCUCCUACGCGCACCACCAGCUGCAGCAGCACCUCUCCUCCCUCCUCUCCGCGGCCGCCGGCGAGCCCCCGCACCCCUCCGAUGACGCCUCCCGCACCGCCGCCCUCUCCAACCUCCGCCUCUCCUUCCUCCACCCGCCCAACCGGCCCCUCCUCCCCGCCCUCGCCCCCUUCCUCGCCCCGCCCCUCUCGGUCCUCCUCGCCGACGAUGCGUCCUACGCCGUGCGACGCGCGGCGGUGUCGGCGUACGCGACGCUCUGCGCGGUGCUGUGCUCGCACGAGGCGCCCGGGGGCCUUCCGGACGGGUUCGUCGCCUGGGCGCUGCCGCUCCUGGGGGACCCCUCCUCAGCCGCGCUCGUCGCCGAAGGGCUCCGGGAGCUCCUGGCCACCGGGGACGUGGCCCCGGUCGAGCGGUUCGUGCCGCCUCUCCUUGCCGCCUGCCGUGACGUGCUCGAGGAUGAGCGGACGUCUCUCUCCGUGCUCCGGUGUCUGCUCGGCCUGCUUAUGCUGAUUGCCGCCAAGUUCCCCCACUGCUUCCGUCCGCAGUUUGUUGAUAUCAUGGACCUGCUCCUUGGGUGGGCGUUUGUGCCGGACCUUGCUGAUGCCGAUCGCAGCAUGAUUAUGGAUAGCUUUUUGCAAUUUCAGUGGCAUUGGCUUGGGAAUCUACAGUUCUCGCUUGGGUUGCUUCCCAAGUUCUUGGCCGACAUGGAGGUGCUUGUGCACGAUCCCAACCUUGCAGCCAGCCAUAAUUCCGGGCGGCUUCGUCCUCUGUUUGCUUGCUUCUCUACAGUACUGCAGAUCAUGGCGUCUGGUGUGGCUGAGCGAAAUAACCUAAGGGAACUUGUAGCUGGGCCACUAGAAGGGUUAGCUCCUCAGCUUUUAAGGUGUGCAUCAGUGAUAGCCUCAAAGCUUGGCUGGUCUGAGAGGAUGGAAGAAGCAUCCAGAUGCUUGGUCUUGCUUGCCGAGAUUCUGCAGGAAAGGUUUGCUGAAUUUUAUGUCCUUUUUGUGGAUGUGUUAGCCCAGAGCUUGGAAGUUGCCUCCUCAGCACAGUUGGUGGCAGCACUUAAGACUAACCUGCAAGUUCUGUUGCUGCAAAAUUUGGGUCUCCGAGCAUCUUCUGUGGGAGCUUUGCUUGACUUCAGUUCAAUUUUGCCUAAGUUGCGUCUUCAUCCAAACCACACCGUGGUUGCAAACUCAGCAGCUACAUACCUUUUUUGCCUACAACAUGGAUCGGAAGAUGUAGUUGAUCAAGCAACUGCAUCGUUGAUGAAAGAAUUAGAGCUGAUAAAAUCUCUGCUUGAGGAAGGGCUAGUAAGUUACCCUGAUAUCCAGAGUCUCUCCUUAGAGCCUAACAAUGAAAGGAAGAGCAAGUCGAACUCAGUUGCACAUUCUUGGGCACAAUAUUCAGAGGAUCAGUUGCUUUCACUAAUGAAAUUUGAUCUGAAGAUUCUUCUGGCCACGAUUGCACUUGAUACAAAAAAGAGAAAUGAGAGAGCAACUAGCUUGACAUCUUUCAUCUCAGAGAAGCUUGACCCAUUUGGUACCCCUUUCCAUAAUUUCCUUGAGAUGCAGUUUCAGAUUUUCUCUACACUACACAAACUGAGCAACAUGGAACUCUCAAGUAUUAUGCCAACAUCUGAAUCAUUUGAAAGAGGCUCUGGAGGUAGUAAAAUUCAGCUGAUUUCUUGUGAGUGUAAAAAGAAGUUUGUGCCUAAAUAUGGCAAAUACAUAGUUCAGGGUCUUAACGCAUCAUCAUCCAUGACACUGAAAUUAGAGGCUCUAGAUUGGAUAGCUUCAUUUGAAAAUUUGAUUCGUGGAAUGGAGAGGGAUGUGGAUAAGUUUAGUUUCUCUUAUGAGGUCAUUGGGGAUGCUACACUUUCGAAUGGUAUCCUUUUCACUGUCUUGGAUUGCGCAUAUGAUAGGGAGCCUAAAGUGAGAUGCCAUGUGGCAUUAACCUUGGAGUUACUAUUCCUGGGUAGGCUCAUCAAUCCACUGAACUUCUCGGUUGUCGCUCAGGUUCUGCUUGACAAGCUUAGUGAUCCAGAUAGUAAUGUAAAGGAUGCAUUUCUAAGGUUAUUUUCAAUCGCUUUGCCUAUCACAACAUAUGUGUUUGGCUUGCUUGUGGACAAGCACAGUUAUCUGAAUUCCUCAGAUAUUGCUAACAUGUCCAACCAUUGCAUGAACUGGAGGCAUGUGCUUGCUGUGAAGCAACAACCUAGGAAGCUCCAUUGGCAGCAGCUUGUUUCUAUUUUGAGCUACCUCUCACUCAGAUUGAAGUUACCUCUUUCAUCUUGGGUGCAGCGGCUGGUCUUUAGUUACCGUGGCAAGAAAGAUAUGCUUUCUGGUCAUACUGAUAUGUCUGGAGAUGCUGAUGGGAAUGAACACCCCAAAGGUCCUGGCGUGGACAGAGCUACUAUUGAUAGGAUAUACUCCGUGAACAAUCAUGCUGCGGUUUGGUGGGGGAUCCAUGAAGCUGCCAGACAUUGCAUUAACCUUCGGCUUCGAACUCAUCUAGGUGGUCCUACUCAGACAUUUGCAGCCCUAGAACGCAUGCUUUUGGAUGUAACAAAUGUAUUAACGCCGGAAGCUAAGGAAGGUGAAGGCAGGUAUACAGGGCCAGCUGACAUUUCCUUAUUGCCAAUGCGUCUGCUAUUGGAUUUUGUUGAGGCAUUGAAAAAAUAUGCUUACAAUGCAUAUGAAGGUUCCUUUGUUCUAUCACCCCCACCGAAAGCAAGUUCUGUGUUUUUCCGCGCAAACAAACGAGUUUGUGAAGAGUGGUUUUCGCGAAUUCGUGAUCCAAUGUUGAAUGCAGGAUUAGCUAUGCACUGCAGUGAUGCAGUCGUUCACUACUGUUCAUUGCGGCUGGUAGAUCUCAGAAACCUGGCUGUAUCAUCCCUCCGAGGCAACAGUCACACAGGAGGGGCUACUGAAAGUCACCAUGGUUUUAGAGAGAGGUUAGAAGCAGAUGUUCUGAAGGUCCUCCGGCAUGCUUCCUUGUCACUUUGCAGAUGUCAUGAAAUAGAUGCCUUAGUUGGACUUCAGAAGUGGGCUGUAUCAACAUUCUACACUUACUUUGAGCAAGACAAUCAACUAGUGCGGGGUGUAUCUGAUUGCGACAAGUACUUCUCGUGGAUGUCAGGAUUGAUCUAUCAAUCCCAGGGGCAGUAUGAAAAGGCUGCUGCACAUUACUCCCAUCUACUUCAGUCAGAGGAAGCCCUUACCUACAUGAAGUCUGAUGGCAUUCAGUACAUCAUAGAGCGCGUAAUUGAGUGCUACACAUCCCUUUCAGAUUGGAAAUGUUUAGAGAGCUGGCUUGCAGAGUUACAAGUGCUCCGUGCUGUACACGCUGGCAAACCUUAUUCAGGUGCUCUAACUAGUGCUGGCAACGAACUUAAUGCUAUUCAUGCGAUGGCAUGCUUUGACGAGGGGGACUUUCAUUCAGCUUGGGGUUAUCUUGACCUGACUCCGAAAAGCAGCAGCGAGCUCACCCUUGAUCCCAAGGUUGCAAUUGAGAGAAGUGAACUUAUGCUCUUGCGUGGAAUGCUUCGAUCUAAUAGCAAGUUGGAGGGCAUAAAAGAGGAGCUUGAUAAGGCUAAAUUGAUGUUGGAUGAAGCUCUCUCUGUUCUCCCACUCAAUGGGUUGCCUGAAGCUGCUGCUUGUGCUGGCCAGCUUCAUUGCAUUUUUGCAUUUGAGGAAGCUUCGGGAUUGACCUACCGAAAUGGACCUAAUCAAUCACAAUCAAUAAUGGAUUCUUUACAGAAACUCCUUCAUGAUCCCGUCGAUAGAAUGCAUCAAGAUUGCAGCAUGUGGCUAAAGCUCUUCAAAGUGUACCGUGAUACACAGCCAUCUUCUUUAUCCACUCUUCUUCUCUGUCAGAAGCUCGCAAGUCUUGCUAGAAAGCAGGGCAAUUUUAUGUUGGCUACCCGUUUAAACCAGUACCUCAUAAAUCAUCCUUUGAAGUCAUCUGAUGAGAUGGACAAGGAAGUAUUUGAAUUGAACAUUAAGUAUGAAGGCGCCUUGCUGAAGCGUGAAAAGGGAAAUAAUGAAGAAGCUCUAUCUGAUAUGUGGUCACUGGUUCGUGCUAGCGUUCAGUCUACCAUUAAUUGUUCAUCUGACAUUGGCACUUCACGUUCAGUGAUUGCUAGGGCUUGUUUGAAACUCUCAACCUGGAUGGAGCAAGAAAACUCAACUCCUAUCUUAAAUACGAUAAUUCCAAAGGUAAUAGAAGAUUUCAGUCAUUCUGAUGGCAUUCAAAAUGGGACACAGAAACUUUUGUUUGGUGAUAGUGUGUCUGUUUCAACUUUGAAUUAUCAUGCUCUUGCCCAAGAAAUCAUAGGCACUGCUCGGAAGAUAUCCUGGCAACUUUGCCCCAGCAUGGGUAAAGCUUGGCUUGCAUAUGCAUACUGGUGCUUCACUCAUGCCAGUUAUUCUCUGUCUGGAAAAGAUUCAAAUUUGCAGAAUUCACUGUCCCCUGUUCUUCAGCCUGAACUUUCCCCAGAUAGAUAUCACUUGACAGAUGAGGAGAAGUCAGAGGUGGAGGAAAUAAUCAGGAGUAUCUGUGCUGAUAAACAUGCAAAUCAUGUGGGGUGCGAUUAUCCAGUGACAGCAGACCCCGUAACUUUACUUAUUGAACAGGCAAUUCAUAUGAUAGAAACUGCAGCUGGAGCACCAGGCUUUGAGGCCCGUGAAGGUGAAGAUCCACCUGCAGUUCUAGCAUCAGAACUAACAGUUCUUUGUAAAUGUGAUUGUGCAAAGGAUAAGGCACCUCUGAUUGACAAGCUUAUUGAAAUUUGGUGGUCUUUAAGGAAAAGGAGGGUAUCGCUCUUUGGGCACGCAGCACAUGCUUAUUUUCAGUAUCUUCAAAAUUCAUCAACUGAGCUUCAAUCUUCGUAUCACCUUGAUGCUUUGAAAGGGAAGACAAGAAGCUACACUAUGCGUGCAAUGCUCUAUCUCCUUCACAUAAUGUUGAACUAUGGGGUGGAACUGAAGGAAACACUUGAAAGCGGGGUUUCUGCAGUUCCUUUAUUGCCAUGGCAGGAGAUUAUACCUCAACUUUUUGCACGCUUGAGUUCCCACCCAGAGAAGAUAGUAAGGGAACUUUUAGAGAGUAUAUUGCUGAAGCUUGGAAAACUUUCUCCUUGUUCUAUUGUAUAUCCUACAUUGGUUGAUAUCAAUGCUUGUGAAGGAGAACCCUCCGAGGAGCUUCAGCGCAUAUCGGACUUUCUGGUUAAGCUAUACCCCAAUUUAAUCAAAGAUGUUAAGCUUGCAAUUGAGGAGCUAGGUAUGAUUACUGUUCUUUGGGAGGAACAAUGGCUGAGCACUUUACAGGAUCUCCGUUCAGAUGUUUUAAGGAGAAUCAAUAUACUUAAAGAGGAAGCUGCAAGGGUUGCUGCAAAUUCUACACUGAGUUCAUCAGAAAAGAACAAGAUAAAUGCUGCAAAAUUUUCUGCUGUGAUGACUCCAAUCAUUGUAGCCUUGGAACGUCGUCUGGCAUCUACAUCUCGUGAACCAAAAACAUCUCAUGAGAUGUGGUUCCAUAAGGAAUAUAAUGGUAAGCUGAAACAUGCAAUUGCAACCCUUAAGACGCCCCCUGGAUCUCUGACAACAUUAGGAGAGAUUUGGCAGCCUUUUGAUUCAAUUGCUGCUUCUUUAGCCACGCAUCAAAGAAAGUCAUGCAUAUCGUUAAGUGAAAUUGCUCCACAUCUGGCUGCUUUGUCUACCUCUGACAUUCCAAUGCCUGGUUUUGAGAAACAGAUACUUGAUUCCUUAGAAUCUUUUGCUGGAAACCAUGGCACUGUAACUGUAUCUUCCUUCUGCAAAGAGGUGACAAUACUCUCAACAAAGACAAGACCUAAGAAGCUCAUCUUGCAAGGAUCAGAUGGUCAGAGGUAUACUUACCUUCUCAAGGGCCGGGAAGAUCUACGCCUUGAUUCUAGGAUAAUGCAGUUGUUGGAAGCGAUAAAUAGCUUGUUGUACUCAUCUUCUGACACUCGAAGUAGAAAUAUUGCUCUACGUUUCUAUUCUGUUACACCAGUUAGUGGACGAGCUGGACUGAUCCAGUGGGUGGAAAAUGUAAGUAGCAUAUACACUGUGUACAAAUCGUGGCAAAAGCGUUCGCAGUUGGCACAGGCAGAGGCACAGCUAUCUUCAGUUAGUACUGUUAACAUUCACAACCCUGUUCCACCUGUUCCCCGUCCAAGUGAUAUGUUCUAUGGAAAAAUUAUACCAGCACUUAAAGAAAAAGGGAUCAAAAGGGUAGUAUCACGAAGAGAUUGGCCACUAGAUGUUAAAAAAAAAGUUCUAUUGGAGCUUAUGAAUGAGACUCCAAAACAGAUUCUGUGGCAAGAAAUGUGGUGUGCAAGCGAAGGUUUCAGAAACUUUAACUCCAAAGUAAAGAGAUUCUCUAGCAGUGUAGCAGCCAUGAGCAUGGUUGGCCAUAUGCUGGGUCUAGGAGAUAGACAUCUGGACAACAUUCUUAUGGAUUUCAGCAAUGGUGAUGUAGUUCAUAUAGAUUACAACAUAUGUUUUGAUAAAGGGAAAAGGCUGAAGAUUCCAGAAAUUGUUCCAUUCCGUCUCACUCAAACUAUUGAAUCAGCUUUAGGAUUGACUGGUGUGGAAGGUGUUUUUAGAGUUUCUUGUGAGGAAGUUAUGAAUGUCCUCUUGAAGAAUAAAGAUAUCAUCUUGAUGUUGUUGGAAGUAUUUGUUUGGGACCCAUUGAUUGAGUGGACACGAGGAAAUAUCCAAGAUGAAGCAGGAAUUGCUGGUGAAGAGAAGAAAGGGAUGGAAUUAGCAGUUAGUUUGAGCUUGUUCUCUUCAAGAAUUCAAGAAAUCCGUGUUCCUUUGCAGGAGCAUAAGGAUAUUUUCUUAACUAAUUUGCCAGCCACAGUGUCUGCUCUAAAGAAAUUCUUGGAUACUUUAGAUCACUACGAGGUUGCAUCAGCUAUAUUUUAUCAUGCUGAGAAAGAGAGAUCAAGUGUUUUGCAGAAUGAAAUGUUGGCUAAGUCAGUCCUAGCUGAUGCUACUUCAGUUGCUGAUAAAUCUCGCAGUUCAUUUGAAAUUCAGGCUCACGAGUUAGCAGAAGCAAAAGCUGCAGCAGUUGAUGAAGCUAACAAGCUUAAAAUAUGGGUGGAAAAACAUGCAAGAGUUCUUGAGGCUAUACAGGAUAACUCUGUUGCGUGCGUUGAGUCAUGCAUGCAAUUGAAUUGUAAGGACGAGGCGUUGAGCCUUAUUUCAGCUGUCCAAGAAUCAGGAGUUCCACUUACAGUUGUACCAGAGCCAACAAGAGCACAGUGCUCUGAGUUGGAUAGAGAGGUUUCUCAAUUAAUAUCGGAGUUACAGGGUGGGCUUUCCUCUGCUUUAGACUCACUUGGUGAAUAUUCCUUAGUGUUGCAACAAGUUCUUCCGGUGAACUACAUCACAACCAGUCCAAUUUCUAGCUGGGCGCAAGUUUUGCAGCUAUCUGCAAGAAGUACAUCACAAGAUAUGCUUUCCCUUGCCAAAAGACAGGCUGCAGAAGUCAUUGCUAAGGUUCAAGGUGAAGGCAUUCAUCUAAUGCAGCAAAGAUAUCGGGAUCUCUUAAAUCAGAUGGAAAGUUACUUUACAUGCGUGGAAAGACUUGCAAGGGAAUGUUCUGAACUGAUGAAUUCUAUUGGAUUGGAUAAUGAAGUGCAAUCCAAAGAGCGGAUACUUUCUGCAUUCAUGAACUCUAUUCAAUUGCCUUCACAAAAGAAGGAUGGCGUUGAUACUCAUUUGUCACAUAAAGAAAGUCUUAGGCAGGGUGAGAACCAAACUCCAGCCAAGGGCGAUGUACAAGAGACAACAAGUAAGGUGCUUUCUAUUCUUGGGAUUGCCGUGGGCCAGCUAUAUAAUGAUAUUAGAGCCAAAGUGUCUGACCUCUCAACUAAAGCUAAUGGGAAAACUAAAUUUAGGGCAGAUGAUUCUGGUCUUCAGGCUGAUGCUGGAAUGGGCUUGCAAUUUUUUGAACAGCACAUAGAAAAAUGUGCAUUGAUAUCUGGAGUUGUUGAUGAAGUGCAUGAAGUUAUUGGGAAGACCUUAGCUGAAACGAGUGAUGCUUAUGCAAAGCCCCACCCUAGGCACUGGGCUUCUACCUUUCAGGCCGCUUUGCACUCAAGUGUCAACAUGAUUGAACAAAUGACUGAAGCUUUUCUUCCAGAAUUUAUAAGAUCAUUUGUUUCACACAAUUCAGAGGUAAUGGAAGCUGUUGGUUCAAUUUCUAAGAUACGUGGUUCUGUUGAUAAAGCUCUAGAGAAGCUGGUUGAAAUAGAACUUGAGAGAGCAUCUCUUACCGAAUUGGAACAGAGCUACUCUGUAAGAGUUGGCCAAAUUACUGAGCAGCAAAUAGCUCUUGAAGAAGCUGCUGCAAGAGGCAGAGAACAUCUAUCUUGGGAAGAAGCAGAGGAGCUAGCUUCGCAGGAGGAAAUCUGUAGGGCACAAUUGGAACAACUACAUGAAACAUGGAGCCAGAAAGAUAUGCGUAUUUCAUCACUUAUGAAAGUAGAAGACAGUGUCAUCAAUUCGUUGCUUUCUUCUAAACAGUACUUCUCAUCUCUGCUGGAUCAUGAUCAUGAAAAUGAAUUUCAUUUUAGACAAAGCAAGGCCCUCCUUUCAAUCUUGACAAAGCCCUUUGCUGGCCUGGAAUCGCUUGAUCAUAUGUUUCCUUCUCAAAUAGAUAGACCCAUUUCAAAUAUGAAAGAUGCUUUGUCUUUGGGUCCUUCAUUGUCUGAUUUGGUGUGGCCUUUAGUUGGCAUAUUGAAGGAUCAUGCUUUUUUUGUUUGGGAACUCAAUCUUCUGGAUUCAAUCUUUGAUAUGUGCAUGCAUGAGAUUUCAUCUUCAGUUGAGCAUAGUAUUAACGCCAAUCAACUUUACUUGACUCUUAAAAAGAAGCUUGCAGCCCAUGUGGAAAAACAAGUGUUCAGGUAUAUUACAGAAAGGAUUGCUCCUUCACUCAUCCUAAGUUUAGAUGAAGAAAUUAGUGUUUUACUGCAGCUGAGUCAAGGAAGAAUAGAAUCAGAUCAACCAAAAAGAGAUUCUGCUGCUGUUGGAAGGGUUGCAUUAAUGCUUGAGGAGUAUUGUAAUGCUCAUGAGACAGCUAGAGCUGCCCGGACUACAGUUUCGCUAAUGAAAAAGCAAUUGAAUGAGCUCACAGAGGCUCUGCGCAAAAUUAUUUUGGAAACAGUUCAGGUUGAAUGGUUGCAUGAUCUUUCAUCACCCCAUGCGCAGAAGGCAAAGGUUUUAUCACAAAAUAUUCUUGGCAAUGAUAAGUUCAUGUCUUUGAUUUUAAAUCUGAGCAGAAAUAACUUGUUAGAUAAGAUUCAGUCUUCGGUCUCAUUGAUAACAAGGUCAAUUGAAAUCCUGCAAGCUUGUGAAAGCAUUUCUGUUUCAGCUGAAGGACAACUUGAGAGAGCGAUGGGAUGGGCCUGUGCUGGUCCAAAUACUUCCAGUGGAGGUGGUUCAACUGCAAAGGGUUCAGGAAUCCCCCCUGAAUUUCAUGGUCAUCUUUUGAAAAGGAGGAAAUUACUUCGAGUGGUUCAAGAAGAGGCAUCUGAUCUUGUUAAGUUGUGCACAUCUGUUUUGGAGUUUGAAGCAUCCAGAGAGGGACUUUACUUCAUUCCCGAGGAUAAAACUUCCGAACAAUCUAUGGACAAAGGCAGGGCCUGGCAGCAAACUUUCUUGAAUCUCCUGACACGUCUAGACGCAGCAUAUCAUUCCUUUACAUGUGCAGAACAGGAGUGGAAACUUGGCCAACUCAACCUGGAAGCUGCUGGAAAAGGCUUGUUUUCAGCAAAUAACCAGGUUUCUAUAGUCUCUGUAAAAGCAAAAUCUGCUCUAGUUAAUCUACAGGAUGCUCUUGUAGCCAUGUAUGAACAUGCUUGUGAAGUAAGUGCAUUGCUAUCUGGAUUCAAACAUGUCUCGCAGGAUCGCUCUGCUUUGACUUCUGAAUGUGGUUCCUUGCUCGAUGAGGUUUUGGCUAUAGCAGAUGGGUUGCAUGAUGUGUACACUCUGGGGAAGGAAGCUGCUGCAGUGCACAGUUCCCUUAUGACCAAUCUUUCCAAGGCAAAUGCAAUUUUAUUUCCACUUGAAGCCUGUCUAUCUGCUGAUGUAACUGUUAUGUCUGAAGCGAUUUCAAAGGAAAGAGAGAAGAACAAUGGCAGCAUGCCUCUUAUUCACGGAAAGGCAUUAUACCAAUCUUAUAACACUAAAAUUAGGGAAGCUUGUAAAAAUAUAGAACCACUGUUCGGUCCGCUUACUGAUAAUGUGGAGGGACUGCAUUCCAUGGUAAUGAAGCUUGGACACCUUUCAAGUCUUCAUGCUGGGAAUCUUCAUAAGGCUCUAGAAGUUCCAGGAGAAAGGGAAUCUGUGAGAUCUCAGGAUAUACCCUCGACACAUCCAAAUCUUUUGCAAAGUGAUUCAUCAACUGAGAAGGAUAGAGAUUCUUCUGAAAACAUGGAAUGUGGCUCUCCAGAUUUAGAAAUGAAUACAGACGUAUCUUUGCAAGAUGGAUGUUGGAUUUCACCUCCAGAUCACUCAUAUACUAGUAGUUCUGGAUGUACCACAGGGUUGACCCAGAAUAGUUCUUCUGGCUACUUAGAGAAAAUAAAUGCUCUCAUGGAUGUCAGGACUGAAAUAGAAGAUCCUGGUGCUACUGACCAGGAAACAAGAAACGGUAGCGAUAAUCAUUCUAUAUCAAGCAAUGUCGCAUUGACACAUGCUAGCAAUAUUCAUGAGGUUGAAACCCAAUUGGUGGAGGGAAGAAUUGAAAGUGACAAUAAUAGUGCAGCCUUCAAACAAGGUAGAGGACAAGAAUGCGAAAACAGUGAUCCUAAAUCCUAUGCAGAUUCUUCGAUUCGAGUAACCAGAGGUAAAAAUCCUUUUGCUCUGUCCAUCCUGAAGCAAGUGGAACAUAAGUUACAUGGAAGGGAUAUAGAUGGCACCAGGCCCUUGAAUAUUUCUGAGCAAGUUGACUAUCUUCUUAAACAAGCAACAAGUAUUGACAACUUAUGCAAUAUGUAUGAGGGAUGGACACCAUGGAUAUGAUUCAAAGACGUGACUUCCUUCAAUGUGCAUCGGCAAACGUUCCAGGCCUCCUUGUAUGUGGCUGCUAUGCAUUAUAACAUAUGGAGGAUAUUCGCAAGAUAAAACGGAAACUGGGAUGUAAGCGAGGGCAAACACCAUUGGAAGAGGUUGGGUAACAACGACUUAGUAAACAGCACUCGGUGAGUGAAGGAACUCCGCAGUGAUAGACUUAGCUAGGAAAAGCUAGACUUGAGAUAUCUUAGAAACUUAUCGGUUCUUGCUUAAUUAAAAGGAUGGUAAUGAUGUCUGCUUGAGCAGCAGUAUUUGGCUCUGGCUUCAACACUGUUACCAGGGUAACUGGUGACAUGUGACCUCCGGGUGGGACAGGGGAUUCUCGAUAGUGGCAAAAUCCUGAUAAAAAACCAUCAAAGCCUUCUUGUAUAUUGAUGAGCAACCCAUUCAUUCUUGCUGCGAGACAGCUGAGCAACUGUUCAUUGUCAGAAAGCUAGCAAAAUAAGUUUUAGCAACUUCCAUGUUUAAGUACCUAAAUGAAAGCUGCCAAUUUUGGGGAUGUGCCUAGUUAAUGUUGAAUUUGAGUUAGCCAAUUGUUAUUUACUGCAAGUGUAAGGACGACAUACUGAAUUGUUCUUCAAUUUCUUUGAAAGAUGUGUCAGUCUUAUAUAAUCCAAAAGGAGAACAGCAUCAUGGUUCAAAAACGUUACCAUACCAGGGUGCAGGAUUCUUGCCCAAUUAUAGAGUAAGCCGAGCUGUAAAACCUUUUCACCUACACUAUUCUUAGAAACCUGAAUGAGUGGUUAGUUAAAAACCUGAAAAAGGAUACAAUUUUUAAUCAUGUCCAGGAUCAGCUAAAGUUGAGACCUUGGUGAACAUCUCAUGUUCUGAUAUUCAUUUUUGUUUCCCUAGUUAGUAUGUGCCCUUCUGAGUUGAUUUCUCCCCUGUUUGUUGUUCAAUAUCAACCUUAACAUAUAGAAUAAUGUUUUUGGCUCUGCAUCACUCAGUUAAAUGAUACAUUGUUCCUCUACGUUCCUAUGGUUGUAUUGAUCGAUCUUGGGUUUACUUUUGACUAUACCAUUACUUUCUUUUAUUAUGAGCACAUGUCAGUUAUACUUAGCUACUGUUUCUCACAGAAAUGUUUGUAUUGCACCCCAUAAGGUAACCAUCACUUUUUUCAUGUGUUCAUGAUUUUUUUCUAGUGGAUUAAUUUCCUUUAAUACUCAUUUUUUCAAUUUUGAUGAAGGCUUUUUUCAAUAUUUGGAUUUAGCGCUCAUAUAUAUGCAAUUUUCCUAUAA